This 433-nucleotide ribosomal RNA is filed under the name uncultured bacterium. RNAcentral describes it as "partial 16S ribosomal RNA". It matches the Rfam family "Bacterial small subunit ribosomal RNA", at positions 29 to 507 of the family's 1533-position model. The record is from RNAcentral.
AGCGAACGCUGGCGGCAUGCCUAACACAUGCAAGUCGAACGGGUCCUUCGGGAUUAGUGGCGGACGGGUGAGUAACACGUGGGAACGUGCCCUUUGGUUCGGAACAACUCAGGGAAACUUGAGCUAAUACCGGAUGUGCCCUUCGGGGGAAAGAUUUAUCGCCAUUGGAUCGGCCCGCGCCUGAUUAGCUAGUUGGUGAGGUAAAGGCCCACCAAGGCGACGAUCAGUAGCUGGUCUGAGAGGAUGAUCAGCCACACUGGGACUGAGACACGGCCCAGACUCCUACGGGAGGCAGCAGUGGGGAAUAUUGCGCAAUGGGCGAAAGCCUGGCGCAGCCAUGCCGCGUGAAUGAUGAAGGUCUUAGGAUUGUAAAACUCUUUCAGCGGGGACGAUAAUGACGGUACCGGCAGAAGAAGCUCCGGCUAACUUCGUG